GGCACAGUGGCACAGUGGGUAGCGCUUCUGCCUCACAGCAAGAUGGCCUGGGUUCGAUUCCCGGCUGGGGCG
RNAcentral lists this transfer RNA (72 nucleotides) under Astyanax mexicanus (Mexican tetra). It matches the Rfam family "tRNA". Rfam says of the family: Transfer RNA (tRNA) molecules are approximately 80 nucleotides in length. Their secondary structure includes four short double-helical elements and three loops (D, anti-codon, and T loops). Lineage: Eukaryota; Metazoa; Chordata; Actinopteri; Characiformes; Acestrorhamphidae. The record is from Rfam by way of RNAcentral.